AUUCCCCUAGUAACUGCGAGUGAAGCGGGAAAAGCUCAAAUUUAAAAUCUGGUGGUCUUUGGCCAUCCGAGUUGUAAUUUAGAGAAGCGUCUUCCGCGCUGGACCGUGCACAAGUCUCCUGGAAUGGAGCGUCAUAGAGGGUGAGAAUCCCGUCUUUGGCACGGAUGUACCAGGGCUUUUGUGAUGCGCUCUCGAAGAGUCGAGUUGUUUGGGAAUGCAGCUCAAAAUGGGUGGUGAACUCCAUCUAAAGCUAAAUAUUGGCGAGAGACCGAUAGCGAACAAGUACCGUGAGGGAAAGAUGAAAAGCACUUUGGAAAGAGAGUGAAACAGUACGUGAAAUUGUUGAAAGGGAAACGCUUGAAGUCAGUCGCGUCGACCGAGACUCAGCCUUGCCUCGGCUUGGUGUACUUCUCGGCUGACGGGUCAGCAUCAAUUUUGCCCCUUGGAUAAUGGCGAGGGAAAUGUGACACCUUUACGGUGUGUUAUAGUCUUUCGUCGCAUGCAAGGGUCGGGAUUGAGGAACUCAGCACGCGCCCUCGGGCGUCGGGGUUUUUGCCCACGAUACGUGCUUAGGAUGUUGGCGUAAUGGCUUUAAACGACCCGUCUUGAAACACGGACCAAGGAGUCUAACAUGCCUGCGAGUGUUCGGGUGGAAAACCCGUGCGCGCAAUGAAAGUGAAAGUUGGGACCUCUGUCGUGGAGGGCACCGACGCCCGGACCAGACCUUUUGUGACGGCUCUGCGGUAGAGCAUGUAUGUUAGGACCCGAAAGAUGGUGAACUAUGCCUGAAUAGGGUGAAGCCAGAGGAAACUCUGGUGGAGGCUCGUAGCGAUUCUGACGUGCAAAUCGAUCGUCAAAUUUGGGUAUAGGGGCGAAAG
This 878-nucleotide ribosomal RNA is filed under the name Russula versicolor. Its description in RNAcentral is "eukaryotic LSU rRNA". It matches the Rfam family "Eukaryotic large subunit ribosomal RNA", at positions 74 to 929 of the family's 3401-position model. The record is from RNAcentral. Lineage: Eukaryota; Fungi; Basidiomycota; Agaricomycetes; Russulales; Russulaceae.